Molecule: long non-coding RNA, 439 nt
Filed under: Manihot esculenta (cassava)
Lineage: Eukaryota; Viridiplantae; Streptophyta; Magnoliopsida; Malpighiales; Euphorbiaceae
Description: long non-coding RNA (MESC_LNC003974)
Source: RNAcentral
CAGCAGUGAGAUAGCUGCUUCAGUGUCUUUUCAGAGCUAGCCUGAGGUGAGUAGAAUGGAUCUUUACGUUUCAAAGUAAAUAAAUUUAGAGCAUGUUCAUGCAUCACAAAUGCCAUGUGAUAUAUUAGGUUGUUUGCACUAGAAUUCACGAAUAUGUUGCAUUGCAUAAUAUAAUGUUGAUGUGGAUGGGUGUUGAAUUAUCCAUUAGCCCUCGUAUGAUGACAUGAUAUGAUAUGAUAUGGUAUGGUAUGUAAGACCAGUGAGGCCCAUUCUACGCCCCUGGUACGAUGUAAGAGAAAGACCAGUGAGGCCCAUGCUACGCCCCUGGCAUAUUGGAAUGUUAUGUUAUGUUAUAUAAGAGAAAGACUAGUGAGGCCCAUGCUACGCCCCUGGCACUAUUGGAAUGUGUAGAGGGCUAUUGGUGACAAGUCCAUCCUUG